UAAUUGAAGAGUUUGAUCAUGGCUCAGAUUGAACGCUGGCGGCAGGCCUAACACAUGCAAGUCGAGCGGUAACAGGGGAAGCUUGCUUCYCGCUGACGAGCGGCGGACGGGUGAGUAAUGUAUGGGGAUCUGCCCGAUAGAGGGGGAUAACUACUGGAAACGGUAGCUAAUACCGCAUAAUCUCUCAGGAGCAAAGCAGGGGAACUUCGGUCCUUGCGCUAUCGGAUGAACCCAUAUGGGAUUAGCU
This 247-nucleotide ribosomal RNA is filed under the name Providencia rettgeri. Its description in RNAcentral is "partial 16S ribosomal RNA". The record is from RNAcentral. Lineage: Bacteria; Pseudomonadati; Pseudomonadota; Gammaproteobacteria; Enterobacterales; Morganellaceae.